CAUGGAAUUCUCAUGUAGAGCCUGCAGAUGGGUGAAAGUUAUUUCUUAGUUACGAGGCCUACUUAGUGUGAGUUCAGUUGUAGUUCGGAGAAGAAGAAUGGGUUCAGAAAAUUGAUUGAGAAUACAUGAUGAGGUCCCGAGUUUGAAGCUUAAGGAGAAGCAGACUGUGUACUGAGAGUUCAUCAUUCUGAACUAUCAUCAUCAUUUUAUGCAAACACCUUUGUGAUAGAAACUGACUGUUGCUUUGCACUUGUUUCGAUCAUGGUUUUCAGGGGGAAUAAAUGAGGAAUUCAUUGCCUUUUUGGCAGAAUA
This is a non-coding RNA of Musa acuminata subsp. malaccensis (wild Malaysian banana), 312 nucleotides long. NCBI's taxonomy places the organism in Eukaryota, Viridiplantae, Streptophyta, Magnoliopsida, Zingiberales, Musaceae. The record is from RefSeq and is a predicted model, not a curated record.